GGCGCGAUCUCGGCUCACCGCAACCUCUGCCUCCUGGGUUCAAGCGAGUCUCCUGCCUCAGCCUCCUGAGUAGCUGGGAUUACAGGCAUGGGCCACCACGCCAGCUCAUUUUGUAUUCUUAGUAAAGACGGGGUUUCACCAUGUUGGUCAGGCUGGUCUCAAACUCCUGACCUCAGGUGAUGCACCCGCCUUGGCCUCCCAAAGUGCUGGGAUGACAGGCAUGAGUCACUGCGCCCAGCCCCACUUCACUUCUUUGGAACUAAGGUGCACUUGAAUUUGUUUAUAGUCGGCUGCCUUUUUAAGAUGGUCACCUCCCCCAAGCAGGCUAUUUGGCUCAUUCCAGUGUCCCUGCUGGUGGCUAGACCGUCUGGCCUGGAGCAGAGCUAGGAAAGUACUUGCUGAACAAAAGACAAGCAAAGCAUGCUUGAGAGAAUGAGAGCUGAAUUUUUUUUUUUUUUUUUUUGAGAUGGGGUCUUGCUCUGUCGUGCAGGCUGGAGUGCAGUGGUGCAGUCUCGGCUCACUGCAAGCUCCAUCUCCGGGGUUCACACCAUUCUCCUGCCUCAGCCUCCCAAAUAGCUGGGAUUCUAGGCAACUGCCACCACGCCCGGCUAAUUUUUGUAUUUUUAGUAGAGACAAGGUUUCACCAUGUUAGCCAGGAUGGUCUCCAACUCCCAACUUCAGAUGAUCCGCCUGCCUCGGCCUCCCAAAGUGCUGGGAUUACAGGCGUGAGCCACUGUGCCUGGCCCCGAGAGCUGUAUUUUUGAAACCACCCUCACACAGUCGUAUUUCACAGAUUCUUUUCUUUAUUUUUUUGAGAUGGAGUUUCAUUCUUGUUGCCCAGGCUGGAGUGCAAUGGCACGACCUCGGCUCACUGCAACGUCCGCCUCCUGGGUUCAACAGAUUCUCUUGCUUCAGCCUCCCAAGUAGCUGGGAUUACAGACACCCGCCACCACACCUGGCUAAUUUUUUGUAUUGUUAGUAGAGACGGGGUUUCACCAUUUUGAUCAGGCUGGUGGUGAACUCCUGACCAGCCGCCUAGGCCUCAGGUGAUCCACCCACCUGGGCCUCCCAAAGUGCUGGGAUUACAGGCGUGAGCCACCGCACCUGGCCACGUUUUUUUUUUCUUUUGCCAAAUUUAGCACUGGAGGAUAGGAUACCAAAGUUGACACUAAUAUUAGGUUCUAAGAACCCACUACUAUCGAGCCAGCUUUUUUUUUUUUUUUUUUGAGAUGAGGUCUGGCUCUGUCGCCCAGGCUAGCCCUGGAGUACAGUGAUGCAAGCACAGCUCACGGUAGCCUUAACCACUGGGGCUCAGCGGAUCCUCCCACCUCAGCCUCCUGAAUAGCUGGGACUAUAGGCGUGCUCAUUGCUGUUUUAGAGGUGUGGUCUCACUAGGUUGCCCAGGCUGGUCUCGAACUCCUGGCUUCAAGCAGUCCUCCUGCCUCAGCUUCCCAAAGUGCUGGGAUUAUAGAUGUGAGCCACUGUGCCUGGCCGUAUUUAACAAUUCUUUUAUUUUCCAGAGAUUGGCCAACAUCAUUUGCAUUCAUUUAAACUCCUUUCUGAGUGAAAUUCCAUUAAUCUAAGAUCUAGCGGUGAGUGCCAAGGGAAUCACCUGACUUUCGAUCCAUGAUCUUACUAGACACGUCAUAUCCUGCCCUCCCCACCGCCGCCGCCGGAAGACUUGGAGCCUCUUACUGUCAAGCCACGUGAACACACUCCAGGGUCGGACCAGAAUCUCUUUAACAAUUGUUUGGGUCGGAGAAGAGGCCUAGGAAGAAGCCAUAAAAGCGGACUCAUUUGAAGCCCCAUUACCAUAAACAUCUUGGAGUCUCGCUCUGUCGCCCAGGCUGGGAUGCAGUGGCACGAUCUUGGAUCUUGGCUCACUACAACCUCCGCCUCCCAGGUUCAAGCAAUUCUCCUGCCUCAGCCUCCCAAGUAGCUGGGACAACAGACACCCGGCUAAUUUUUGUAUUUUUAGUAGAGAUGGGGGGGGGGGGGCGUGGUCUCACCAUUUGGCCAGGCUGGUCUUGAACUCCUGACCUUGUGAUCUGCCCACCUGGGCCUCCGAAAGUGCUGGGAUUACAAGCAUGAGCCACCACGCCUGGCCCAAGAGACUCAUUUUUAUCAAGAGACUGGGUGUUUGUUUCCCUACUUUUUAAGAUGCUGCUAAUAAAAGUUUUCUAUUAUUCACUGAAUUGUUGAUAACCAGCGUGGUUCAUCAGGUCUCAAGUAUUUGUGUUUUCCUCAAAAGACUCUUUUCCAUCUAACGCUGAUCUCUUGGGCAGUGAACUAGGAAUGCAGGAUUUUAUGUAUUUAUUUAUUUUGAGAUGGAGUCUUGCUCUGCUGCCCAGGCUGGAGUGCAGUGGCGCAAUCUCGGCUCACUGCAACCUUUGCCUCCUGGGUUCAAGUGAUUCUCCUGCCUCAGCCUCCCCAGUAGCUGGGAUUACAGGCGCCCGCCACCACACCCGGCUAAUUUUUGUAAUUUUAGUAGAGAUGCAGGGGUGGUCGCACCAUGUUGGCCAGGCUGGUCUCGAACUCCUGACCUUGUGAUUUGCCCACCACUCAGAUGAUCCAUCUGCCUCAGCCUCCCAAAGUGCUGGGAUUAUAGGAGUGAGCCACCGCACCCAGCCGAAUGUAGGAUUUUAAAGAUAGCAGAGAUGAACCGGACAAGAUCAUAGUCAGCUGUUGAGGGUUGAGACCAAACUUUUUGCCUGUGGAUUUUACAGCCUUUCAAACAAGGACAUUGUGAGAACGGG
This 2756-nucleotide long non-coding RNA is filed under the name Homo sapiens (human). RNAcentral's name for it is "HSALNT0355425". The record is from RNAcentral. Lineage: Eukaryota; Metazoa; Chordata; Mammalia; Primates; Hominidae.